Molecule: unclassified non-coding RNA, 377 nt
Filed under: uncultured Gammaproteobacteria bacterium
Lineage: Bacteria; Pseudomonadati; Pseudomonadota; Gammaproteobacteria
Description: contains 16S-23S intergenic spacer region
Source: RNAcentral
UCCGACUUGACGUCGGCAGUCUCGUUAGAGUGCCCCACUUAAGGCUGGCAACUAACGACAGGGGUUUCGCUCGUUAAGGGACUUAACCCAACAUCUCACGACACGAGCUGACGACAGCCAUGCAGCACCUGUGUUCCAGUUCCCUUUCGGGCACAGCCGCCUUUCAGCAGCCUUCCGGACAUGUCAAGGGUAGGUAAGGUUUUUCGCGUUGCAUCGAAUUAAUCCACAUAAUCCACCGCUUGUGCGGGUCCCCGUCAAUUCCUUUGAGUUUUAGCCUUGCGGCCGUACUCCCCAGGCGGUCAACUUCACGCGUUAGCUUCGUUACCAAGGAAUUACUUCCCCGACAACCAGUUGACAUCGUUUAGGGCGUGGACUAC